GGAGCACCCCGGGCGAUCGCUCCGCGCCUCGCGCGCGGGGAGGAAAGUCCGGACUCCACGGGCCCGGGUGGUUGCCAACGACAACCGGUCGCGAGACCAGGGAAAGUGCCACAGAAAAUACACCGCCGACGCGCGCGCCCUUCGGGGCGCUCGCAGGCAAGGGUGAAAUGGUGCGGCAAGAGCGCACCGCGGUUCCGGCGACGGAACCGGCAGGGCAAACCCCACCCGAGAGAAAGACCAAAUAGGGGGGCAUAGACGACGGCCCGCGUCGCCUGAAGCCCCCGGGUAGGUCGUGACGAGCCAGGACGCGAGUCCUGGCCCAGAGAAAUGGUCGCCGCCCCUCCUUUGGAGGGGUACAGAAUCCGGCUUACAGGGGUGCUCCCAUC
This 386-nucleotide RNase P RNA is filed under the name Planctomycetota bacterium. RNAcentral's name for it is "Planctomycetes bacterium (freshwater metagenome) RNase P RNA component class A". It matches the Rfam family "Bacterial RNase P class A". Rfam says of the family: Ribonuclease P (RNase P) is a ubiquitous endoribonuclease, found in archaea, bacteria and eukarya as well as chloroplasts and mitochondria. Its best characterised activity is the generation of mature 5'-ends of tRNAs by cleaving the 5'-leader elements of precursor-tRNAs. Lineage: Bacteria; Pseudomonadati; Planctomycetota. The record is from RNAcentral.